UACGUAGGUGGCAAGCGUUGUUCGGAAUUACUGGGCGUAAAGGGCUCGUAGGCGGCCAACUAAGUCGGACGUGAAAUCCCUCAGCUUAACUGGGGAACUGCGUCUGAUACUGGAUGGCUUGGAUUUGGGAGAGGGAUGCGGAAUUCCAGGUGUAGCGGUGAAAUGCGUAGAUAUCUGGAGGAACACCGGUGGCGAAGGCGGCAUCCUGGACCAACAUUGACGCUGAGGAGCGAAAGCCAGGGGAGCAAACGGG
This 253-nucleotide ribosomal RNA is filed under the name uncultured bacterium. Its description in RNAcentral is "partial 16S ribosomal RNA". It matches the Rfam family "Bacterial small subunit ribosomal RNA", at positions 524 to 776 of the family's 1533-position model. The record is from RNAcentral.